Molecule: ribosomal RNA, 253 nt
Filed under: uncultured bacterium
Lineage: Bacteria
Description: partial 16S ribosomal RNA
Rfam family: Archaeal small subunit ribosomal RNA
Source: RNAcentral
UACCAGCACCCCGAGUGGUCGGGACGUUUAUUGGGCCUAAAGCAUCCGUAGCCGGUUCUACAAGUCUUCCGUUAAAUCCACGUGCUCAACAGAUGGGCUGCGGAAGAUACUAUGGAGCUGGAGGAGCGGGAGAGGCAAGCGGUACUCGAUGGGUAGGGGUAAAAUCCGUUGAUCCAUUGAAGACCACCAGUGGCGAAGGCGGCUUGCCAGAACGCGCUCGACGGUGAGGGAUGAAAGCUGGGGGAGCAACCGG